This 878-nucleotide ribosomal RNA is filed under the name Preussia sp. (in: ascomycete fungi). RNAcentral's name for it is "Preussia sp. (in: Fungi) partial large subunit ribosomal RNA". It matches the Rfam family "Eukaryotic large subunit ribosomal RNA", at positions 54 to 949 of the family's 3401-position model. The record is from RNAcentral. Lineage: Eukaryota; Fungi; Ascomycota; Dothideomycetes; Pleosporales; Sporormiaceae.
AGGAAAAGAAACCAACAGGGAUUGCCCUAGUAACGGCGAGUGAAGCGGCAACAGCUCAAAUUUGAAAUCUGGCCCUUUCAGGGUCCGAGUUGUAAUUUGUAGAGGGUGCUUUGGAGUUGACUGUGGUCUAAGUUCCUUGGAACAGGACGUCGCAGAGGGUGAGAAUCCCGUAUGUGGCCGCCAGUCUUCGCCGUGUAAAGCCCCUUCGACGAGUCGAGUUGUUUGGGAAUGCAGCUCUAAAUGGGAGGUAAAUUUCUUCUAAAGCUAAAUAUUGGCCAGAGACCGAUAGCGCACAAGUAGAGUGAUCGAAAGAUGAAAAGCACUUUGGAAAGAGAGUCAAAAAGCACGUGAAAUUGUUGAAAGGGAAGCGCUUGCAGCCAGACUUGCCUGUAGUUGCUCAUCCGGGCUUUCGCCCGGUGCACUCUUCUAUAGGCAGGCCAGCAUCAGUCCUGGCGGUCGGAUAAAUGCCCGCUGAAUGUACCUCUCCUCGGGGAGGACUUAUAGCAGUGGGCGGCAUACGACCAGCCGGGAUUGAGGUCCGCGCAUCUGCUAGGAUGCUGGCGUAAUGGCUGUAAGCGGCCCGUCUUGAAACACGGACCAAGGAGUCUAACAUCUAUGCGAGUGUUUGGGUGUCAAGCCCGAGCGCGUAAUGAAAGUGAACGGAGGUGGGAACCCCUCGGGGUGCACCAUCGACCGAUCCUGAUGUCUUCGGAUGGAUUUGAGUAAGAGCAUAGCUGUUGGGACCCGAAAGAUGGUGAACUAUGCCUGAAUAGGGUGAAGCCAGAGGAAACUCUGGUGGAGGCUCGCAGCGGUUCUGACGUGCAAAUCGAUCGUCAAAUUUGGGCAUAGGGGCGAAAGACUAAUCGAACUAUCUAGUA